This 247-nucleotide ribosomal RNA is filed under the name uncultured bacterium. RNAcentral's name for it is "partial small subunit ribosomal RNA". It matches the Rfam family "Bacterial small subunit ribosomal RNA", at positions 26 to 285 of the family's 1533-position model. The record is from RNAcentral.
AGGACGAACGCUGGCGGCGUGCUUAACACAUGCAAGUCGCACGAGAAAGGGGGCUUCGGCUCUGAGUAAAGUGGCGCACGGGUGAGUAACACGUGACUAAUCUACCCUCGAGUGGGGGAAUAACUGAGAGAAAUCUUAGCUAAUACCGCAUAACACUUACGAGUCAAAGCAGCAAUGCGCUUGGGGAGGAGGUCGCGGCCGAUUAGCUAGUUGGCGGGGUAAUGGCCCACCAAGGCGAUGAUCGGUA